Scomber scombrus (Atlantic mackerel) is the source of this 915-nucleotide long non-coding RNA. RefSeq lists it as uncharacterized. The transcript has 4 exons. The record is from RefSeq and is a predicted model, not a curated record. Lineage: Eukaryota; Metazoa; Chordata; Actinopteri; Scombriformes; Scombridae.
CUCUCUCUCUCUGUGUCUCUCUGUCUGUGUCUCAGUCUUCGUAGCAGCAGCAGUAAACUGGCUCAGCUGACUCUGGAGCAGAUUUUGGAGCACAUGGACAACCUGAGACUGAGUCUGAGCAACAUCAAGAACAGCUUCUUCAGUCAGACUCCGAUCCUUCAGGCUCUGCAGCACGUUCAGGCCAGCUGUGAUGAAGCACACAAGAUGAGGUUCAGUGACCUCUUCGCUCUGGCGGAGGAGUACGAGGACUCGCAGUCGAAGCCCUGAAGUCUCGCGUAAAGCUCCGGCAACGUCGCCGCGCUCUACGCAAAGGAGCGGCUCCUCCCACCAACAACGAUGAUGAGAGCGGCUCCAGCAGCGCCUCCGAGGAGGAAGACUCGAAGCCCAAAGCUCCUAAGAGGAAGAGGAAAGGCUCGUCGGCCGUCGGCUCCGACAGCGACUGACGGACUCCGACCUCCUGACCAAUCACACGCCAGCUGCCACAGACACCGUCAGCCAACCAGCAGCUCCGACUGACUGACCGCUGCGAGAGGCCCCGCCCCCCUCCUCCCCUCCCCUCCUCCAAUGACACGCACUGAAGCGGCGGGAGGGGCGGGGCUCCGAGGCGCAGUAUCAGCAGCAGCAGACUUUUUUUUAAAUCCAUGAGGAGAAACGGACUUUAUGACGUAAUGAGACUGAUCAUGUUUCCAUGGAGACGACCCGCCAAACUCAGGCAGGUCAAAGGUCAACCGUGUGGCUGAAUUCCCACGAUGCACUGUGAGGAGAAAAAACCACGAACUCUGGGAACCAAAAGACUGAUUUUAACACAGGGAACAUGAUGAUGAUGAUGAAUAAUGAUGAAGAUGAGUGCGGUUGUUUGUGGGUACUUUUGUCUUUUUUUUUUCAGUUCUUUCCCUUUUUUCUUUUUUUUUUUGA